GUUGAAGCGCAUCGUCGAGGUUCCCCGCCACAGGCAUGUGGCGGGGCUAAGACGGGAAGCCGGUGAUGUCCCUGAAGGACAAAAUCCGGCGCUGCCCCCGCAACUGUAAGCGGCGAGCGGCGGUUCCUUUUCGUGUCACUGGGCCUCGCAACAGGUUCGGGAAGGCCGGGACUGCCGUGUUGACCCGCAAGCCAGGAGACCUGCCUCCGACGCGAUAGAUGU
This 222-nucleotide non-coding RNA is filed under the name Croceibacterium mercuriale. The record is from RNAcentral. Lineage: Bacteria; Pseudomonadati; Pseudomonadota; Alphaproteobacteria; Sphingomonadales; Erythrobacteraceae.